Acanthochromis polyacanthus (spiny chromis) is the source of this 1310-nucleotide long non-coding RNA. RefSeq lists it as uncharacterized. Lineage: Eukaryota; Metazoa; Chordata; Actinopteri; Pomacentridae. The record is from RefSeq and is a predicted model, not a curated record. The transcript is spliced from 4 exons.
CUACAGGUUUCUACAGUCGCUACAUUUACUUUUAGCGCAUGUUUCUGUAUUUAGUCGAAGGUUGAAGCCUCAGUUUGCAGGUUGUGGUAGUAAAGCAGCAGCUCAGUAUAAAUACAGCUCCAGCUCCAUACUGCAGACUCCUUCACUACAUAAAUAUUUGAAUCUUUCUCCCACAUACACUGUAAAUCUCUGACCUUAACAUCAACUGAAUCCACCGCAUGUUCCACAAGAUGUUUCCAGGUCCUGUGCUUGGCUGCAGAUUGUGAAAGCGCCACGUCAACCUUCCCCUCAUGACUCAGCCUCAUCUCUGGGGCCACACCGGUUAUUUUCCUGCCCUGGAUGACCACAACAGCAAACUUUGACCAGAAUAUCUGAGUGGCAUCAGCAGCUCCACACAACAAACAGCUCAGCCGUGACUUUUCCCAUAAUGAACCUCAGGGAGGAACUUUUCACCUAAAGUUCCCUGCAGAGCUGUCAUGGAGUUUAACUGUAACACAGUGAUCCAGAGCCCACUGAAUCGGAGAUUCUUCAUGUCUUAAUUCCAAUAACUGACGGGCCACCUGCCGCCUGUGAAUCCACCUGUUGCCGUUGCCAUGGUAACCAGGUGUUUCCCUGGAGUAAUUGCUGCAGCAGGUGUUCCACAUCACCCUCAUCAGCCGGUUCAGGAGCAGGUGGAAUGAUUGCCAAUCAGACCUCAUUCUCACUGCGCAUAAUCAGACGCCACUCACCUCUCGAUUGUGAUACAGCCGCCGUCCCGUGGUGUCCUCUCCAUGCUCAACUGCUGCCUUGAACCCUCCAUGGAUCCGUUUGUCUGCGAUUCCCCAGCAUGAGCAUCAGCCACAGUUUUAUUAGUUAAUUCCUGAUUGAUUAUAGUCUUGACUUUGUUUAAUGAAAUCGUGUCUAUAGUUUAAGUUAGCGUAAGUAUUUUGAAGUAAGCCUUCGAGCCUCUAGUUAGUACUAAAGCUUUUGCAUCAUAGUUUCAGUUAAGCCUCACAAUAUCCUUUCUUGCCUGGUUUUACCCACCAUGAAUUAGCGCCUCAGUUUGCAGUUUGUCCUCCUGGCCUAUCCUGAGUUUUCUGUCUUGUAUUAUUCUUUCGUUCUGUGAAUGAAGUCUUUUAACUGCUUUUGCGUGUCUGCUCGUUUCCUGCACCGGAGCUCCUUGAGAAACCGUCACAGUUUAGUUCCUUUUUGGUGAUUGUUCUGUAUCGUACAGUGUCUCUCUCUGGGAUUGUUUUGGGGUUUUUGUGUGUAUUUUGUUUGGUUGGUGGCUUUUUUUUGUGUCUUUGUGGUGAUUAAACAUCUUUUCAUUG